GGUGGUAGCUGGCUACUGUGAGCGAUGCAGAAAUCUUAGCAAUCAAUGUCAAUCACCGGUAACCGAGAACAGCCAUCACACACAAGCAAAACAGAUCAACAGUCACCUCCUGUGCCAGGGAAGAAAUUCCUGCCUGCUCUGUACCUGCUGGGGAUAGCUGGGUCAAAGCUAGCAGCCCUGGCAUUGGCCUCCUCCAUCACUCAGCCAUGUCCUGGUGUGCCCUCAAGGGGUAUCGUAAAUCAAGCAACACUGGACCCUACCCAGGGAGCACAGAGAAGACAUGGAGGCACAACCUUCUCAUCUCACCUCUGGGGAAGCAGGCACAAGCAGAUCUCUGAGGCUCACUGGCUAGACAGCAUAGCCUACCUGUCAAUUUCAGGGCAGCAAGAGAUCCUGUACAAAAAAAAAA
Molecule: long non-coding RNA, 409 nt
Filed under: Rattus norvegicus (Norway rat)
Lineage: Eukaryota; Metazoa; Chordata; Mammalia; Rodentia; Muridae
Description: long non-coding RNA NONRATT028177
Source: RNAcentral